CCAACAGGGAUUGCCUCAGUAACGGCGAGUGAAGCGGCAACAGCUCAAAUUUGAAAUCUGGCCCCCCGGCCCGAGUUGUAAUUUGCAGAGGAUGCUUCGGGCGCGGUGCCUUCCAAGUCCCCUGGAACGGGGCGCCAUAGAGGGUGAGAGCCCCGUCUGGUUGGCCGCCAAGCCUGUGUGAAGCUCCUUCGACGAGUCGAGUAGUUUGGGAAUGCUGCUCUAAACGGGAGGUAGACCCCUUCUAAAGCUAAAUACCGGCCAGAGACCGAUAGCGCACAAGUAGAGUGAUCGAAAGAUGAAAAGCACUUUGAAAAGAGGGUUAAACAGUACGUGAAAUUGUUGAAAGGGAAGCGCUUGUGACCAGACGUGCGCCGGGUGUUCAGCGGGCGUUUUCGCCCGUGCAUUCGCCCCGGCGCAGGCCAGCGUCGGUUCGGGCGGGGGGACAAAGGCGCCAGGAACGUAGCUCCCCCGGGAGUGUUAUAGCCUGGCGCGCCAUGCCCCCGCCCGGACCGAGGUUCGCGCUCCGCAAGGACGCUGGCGUAAUGGUCCCCAGCGGCCCGUCUUGAAACACGGACCAAGGAGUCGAGGUUUUACGCGAGUGUCUGGGUGUCAAACCCGCACGCGAAAUGAAAGUGAACGCAGGUGGGAGCUUCGGCGCACCACCGACCGAUCCUGAUGUUCUCGGAUGGAUUUGAGUAGGAGCGUGGGGCCUCGGACCCGAAAGAUGGUGAACUAUACUUGGAUAGGGUGAAGCCAGAGGAAACUCUGGUGGAGGCUCGCAGCGGUUCUGACGUGCAAAUCGAUCGUCAAAUCUGAGUAUGGGGGCGAAAGACUAAUCGAACCAU
Molecule: ribosomal RNA, 845 nt
Filed under: Codinaea dwaya
Lineage: Eukaryota; Fungi; Ascomycota; Sordariomycetes; Chaetosphaeriales; Chaetosphaeriaceae
Description: partial large subunit ribosomal RNA
Rfam family: Eukaryotic large subunit ribosomal RNA
Source: RNAcentral